UCUCACUUCUCUCGUUCUUUUCACAUCGUCAGCUGGACAUUUCCACCUGAAUGUUUCAAUAGCCCUUCCAGUUCACAGUAUAAAAUGCUGACUUGAUCAUCUUUCCUGCUCAAGAAAUGCUCAUUUUUUGUUUCUAAAUCAAGUGGCUGUAUCGUCACAAUGUUGAGAGUGCUGUUAUUCCUGUGUUCAUCAGCAAGCCACAGCUUUCUCAAAGAUGGUUGUCUCAAAUGAGUGAGAAGAGAUGCUGUCCCUAGGGGAAGAUGUUCUAACUCCAGUCUUUUUAAGAGAUUAGGUUUCCCAUGUGGAAGACUCGAAAAUCCAUGGGACCUGUGAGGGAAGGAGACUGAAGGAAGAGACAAGUAGAGGAAGCUGAUGAGAAGCUAUGAAGCAGCAGCCCUGCGGAAAGGCUUGGGAUCCAGUCACACGAGCCUGUAAGAGUGAUUUCUCCUCCAUGUCAUAACUCACCUGAUCCCAGGAGACAAAGGGAUAGAAGGUCCCAGUUGAUGUGGCCAGACCUCUAGGAUGGCCUAAGUGGGAACCUGGAUGGUCUUCCAUGAUCCAUUCAUUCCUUAAAGACUGUCCACUGGUGCCCAGAACUACUGUUGGUAUUGGGAAUAACACAGGGAAUAAAGACAUCUGCAUCAC
RNAcentral lists this long non-coding RNA (645 nucleotides) under Equus asinus (donkey). RNAcentral describes it as "lncRNA (ENSEASG00005028573.1)". Lineage: Eukaryota; Metazoa; Chordata; Mammalia; Perissodactyla; Equidae. The record is from RNAcentral.